Long non-coding RNA from Syngnathoides biaculeatus (alligator pipefish), 597 nucleotides. RefSeq lists it as uncharacterized. NCBI's taxonomy places the organism in Eukaryota, Metazoa, Chordata, Actinopteri, Syngnathiformes, Syngnathidae. The record is from RefSeq and is a predicted model, not a curated record. The transcript is spliced from 4 exons.
GGCUUUGAAAUCUAAACCCCAUACUCAAAGAGUGUAAUUAUACAUCCAUCCACCCAUUUUCUGAGCCGCUUAUCCUCACGACGUCCCCAGCUGUCAUCGGGCAGGAGGCGGGGUGUUAACUCCACACAGGGCUCCCCCCCCUUACUGGUCUUCGUCAUCGCUAUCCUCGCCUUCGCUCUCCUCCAGCAGGCGGGACUGGCGGGCCAGCCGCUGCGCCACGGCCGUCACCAUGGCGGCGCCUUUGCCGCUGCCGUCCUCCGAGAGCAGCACGCGUUGGUACCCGUGCCUGCGCCAACGGAGACAGAAGGGCAGUCGGUCACGUAAGGGCGGAGUGCGUCGUUGCGCGUGCUGCGACGCGUGUUCACCGAUGAUCAUGCCGAUCUCGCAGCUUUGGUCCCUGUAGCCGCAACUCAUCAUGGUGCCCACCGUGUCGUUGACCAUGGCGAUGGAGCCGACGUCGUAAUCCUGGAGCUUCACCACAUCUUGUCCCUCCACUCCGGAGCACUGGAAGCCUUUAGUCCAGCGGAUCAAGAUGCUCUGCGGUGGACGCAAAGUGACAGUGUCAUUUUAAAAAAAAUGCAUUGAAAAUAAAUAAAG